AAAGUAUAGUCUCUAACCAGACCGAACGGCGUCGUUUGCUGAGACCAAUAAAAGAUCCUACGCGGAAGAGCUUUCAGUUGUACCCGAAAGGCCAAAAAAAAACAUGGGAACUCUAUCGUCUCUGUUCCCUCUCACACCGUCUGCAGUCCCAAAACCUCUCAAUAACUUUGCCCCGAAAACCCACUUUUAUGACCCCAUUUUCUCCGCUACUUUCACUUCAAAGCUUCAAUACAAGGCAGUGGCUUUCGCGGGGAAUCCGAACGACCCCAAACAGAAAGAAUACCUAUUCUUGGACGAAAACGGUGUCGUCGAAGACAUGGAUGGUUAUCUUGACAACCUAUCUCUCGAGUAUGAAUCAGUUUGGGACACAAAGCCUUCCUGGUGUCAACCAUGGACGAUUACCCUUACUGGAUUGUUGGUGAUUACCGCUAGCUGGCUAAUUUUGCACUCGGUUGUGGUCACAGCUUUUGCCACUUUGGGGAUAUGCACAUGGUGGUACAUCUAUCUCUCGAGUAUGAAUCAUUUGGGACACAAAGCCUUCCUGGUGUCAACCAUGGACGAUUACCCUUACUGGAUUGUUGGUGAUUACCGCUAGCUGGCUAAUUUUGCACUCGGUUGUGGUCACAGCUUUUGCCACUUUGGGGAUAUGCACAUGGUGGUACAUCUUUCUCUAUUCUUAUCCCAAGGCUUAUAUGGAGAUGAUAUCUGAGCGGAGAGAGAGGGUGAUGAAUGGUGCAGAAGAUACAUUUGGAAUGAGCAAGAAUGAAUGAUUUUGCAUAUUCUCUAUUUGUAUGUAGCACGUAGAUGUUGUGUUUAUGGCUUAUCGAAUGAAGAUGUUAAUUUAACAUCA
RNA transcript from Hibiscus syriacus, 850 nucleotides. RefSeq lists it as uncharacterized. The record is from RefSeq and is a predicted model, not a curated record. NCBI's taxonomy places the organism in Eukaryota, Viridiplantae, Streptophyta, Magnoliopsida, Malvales, Malvaceae. The transcript is spliced from 4 exons.